GGAUAUGUCCGAGUGGCUAAGGAGGCAGACUUGAAAUCUGCCGAGUUUCAGCCGCAGCAGGUUCGAGUCCCGCUGUUUUCU
Molecule: non-coding RNA, 81 nt
Organism: Glycine soja
Lineage: Eukaryota; Viridiplantae; Streptophyta; Magnoliopsida; Fabales; Fabaceae
Source: Rfam